AACGAACGCUGGCGGCGCGCUUAACACAUGCAAGUCGAACGAGAAGCUGUAGGCAAUACAGUUGUACAGUGGCGAACGGGUGAGGAAUACAUGGGUAACCUACCCUCGAGUGGGGAAUAACCAGCCGAAAGGCUGGCUAAUACCGCGUACGCUUCCCAAUCUGCGGGUUGGGAAGGAAAGCUCUACCGUGGGUAGAGCGCUCAAGGACGGGCUCAUGUCCUAUCAGCUUGUUGGAGGGUAACGGCCUACCAA
RNAcentral lists this ribosomal RNA (252 nucleotides) under uncultured bacterium. RNAcentral describes it as "partial 16S ribosomal RNA". It matches the Rfam family "Bacterial small subunit ribosomal RNA", at positions 29 to 271 of the family's 1533-position model. The record is from RNAcentral.